Non-coding RNA from Rhinopithecus roxellana (golden snub-nosed monkey), 638 nucleotides. NCBI's taxonomy places the organism in Eukaryota, Metazoa, Chordata, Mammalia, Primates, Cercopithecidae. The record is from the annotation of a RefSeq genome assembly.
CAGUGAAGUCAUUACUAUGCAGCCUCACAACUGUAGCAACCCUUCUAAAGGUUGUAGAUUCUGGCUGAUGAUGUCACUGACACAAAGAAAAAAAUGCAAAACAGAUAGUCUUAAAUAAGCUUUCUGGUGAGACCAACUGCAUUUUGGCCAUGGCUCUGCAGGGCACUCUGGGGACAGUGUGGCUGGGACUUCUCCUCAACUCUCUGUGGAAUGUUGCAGAAAGCAAGGACCAAGUGUUUCAGCCUUCCACAGUGGCAUCUUCGGAGGGAGCCAUGGUGGAAAUCUUCUGUAAUCACUCUGUGUCCAAUGCUUACAACUUCUUCUGGUACCUUCACUUCCCGGGAUGUGCACCAAGACUCCUUGUUAAGGGCUCAAAGCCUUCUCAGCAGGGACGAUACAACAUGACCUAUGAACGAUUCUCUUCAUCGCUGCUCAUCCUCCAGGUGCGGGAGGCAGAUGCUGCUGUUUACUACUGUGCUGUGGAGGACACAGAGGCAGGGAACCCAUGAAGAGCUGAACAGAAACAGAGAUCACAGCCUUUGCAGGAGGCAAAACAGACGAGCAAUAACUUUUUCUUCCUUAAUUCAGUGUUACCCAAGCUUUUUCAUUUGGUAUUCUACUAGGAAAAAAAAUCAAGU